CCUCUAUUCAAAUAAGCUUGGGUAGCUGCUUGGCAACUACGAGCGAGAGCUUAAAAGUCAAAGUACUUGGCGGCUUUCUAAUCUACUUGGAGGAAUAUGCCGAUUGACUCCGAUAAUCCACGGAAAUCUUACCUUACCUUGCAAAAGAGUCAGUCGGUGUACUGCCGUUGUCAGCUGGUUGUGUAUAAGUAAACAAACUGAAAGCGGCCCAAUGAAGAUCGGGGACUUCAGUAAUUCAGGUCGAAGCGCUACCUACGGUUGGUGAAAUUCGGGGUAUUACAUUUCGGACUUAGGGAACUUGACUAACGAAUACUGGGAUUGCAACAUCUAAUUUACGGGGAAGUUGAAUUCAAAAGUAAGGAUGGAUUUUAUAUAAAAAGAGAAUAGCAUGCUCUCCUGAAUAAGCUCUGGGUUGCGUACAAAUCGCCCGUCGCUCUCGCUAUACCUGAAGGG
RNAcentral lists this ribosomal RNA (453 nucleotides) under Spondylus squamosus. RNAcentral's name for it is "partial 12S ribosomal RNA". It matches the Rfam family "Bacterial small subunit ribosomal RNA", at positions 844 to 1428 of the family's 1533-position model. The record is from RNAcentral. Lineage: Eukaryota; Metazoa; Mollusca; Bivalvia; Pectinida; Spondylidae.